This 4338-nucleotide long non-coding RNA is filed under the name Homo sapiens (human). RNAcentral describes it as "HSALNT0084160". The record is from RNAcentral. Lineage: Eukaryota; Metazoa; Chordata; Mammalia; Primates; Hominidae.
GGAGUUGGCAGCAUCAGCAGCAGCCAGGGUUUAAAUGGGUGAACGUGCUCAGCAAAGGGUAGCUGGUAGUCUUACUUGUGCCUCCACACAAGGCUGCAAGGGAACCUGAAGAGACAUGAAAGGCUGCGUUCAACCUCCCCUCUCACAGCUGUGGAUGAAGGGAAUUCUUCUGAACUAGUGCACUGACAGUUUACAGGAAGGAGAAGGAUGGAAUUCCUGCACACUGGACAGCACGUGGCCUUCCCCAUAGCUCCAGUGGCAUGUGGCUUUGGUGAAACUUGGGGCUUUGUCACCUCUGAAUGAUGUGGACUCAGUGAAUUCUAAGGAACUCAGGGACACUGGUUCAGGCUCUGCCACACAGAAGAGCCACAGUCUCCAGGCUCAUGGCGUUCCCUCCAGAACUCCCCAUUCCACUCUGAGCAUAUUUCUAUGCUGCUUCUUCUUGUGACUUACAUGAGGCAUCUCAGCUUCUUCCUGUUUGUAGGGAUGUUUCCCUAAGCCUGUUCAAGUAGAUUCUCACUAGAAUUAGCAUGCAUAUUGGAGUAAAAAAGAACAUUUAAUAAAUAUGUGUGUUUCUGUGGGGCCGAGGCUCUAAAGGAAUUGAAAGGAGAUUAUAAACAGUGAAUGAGUGUGAGGGCAUCCCUGCUGGGGAGAAACCUCUGUCCCUAGAGAGGGUCCUUUCAUGUUCAUGUGGUCGGGGAUGAGCCAGGGGUCUGGCCUCAUCGGCUCACAAGUGACACCAAGAGAAAAGAAGCAAAUGGAGGAAAUGGUCAGAUAAGUAGGUGAUGUGAAAGGCAGGACCUGGUCACCCCAGCGAGCACUAUGGCCAGUUCCCGGGUCCCGUGACCCACUGCACAGGUCCAUGAGUCUGACUCUUGGACUCUGCCAGGAUCAGCUGCCCAGAGUGCCAGAGUUUUCGCCAAGGGUGUCCUUAAUUCCUUAUUUAUCAGCAAAAGAAUGAAAAUCAUGGGAGUCAAAGCUUAUUUUUCUGAGUGUUCCCACUGGAGUGUCUGGUGGAAUUAGUGGGUCAUGCCAUCAAAGUCAUGAACAAAGCCUCAACAGGGGUCUCCAUGUCCCCAACUGGCCAUCUAAGGGGAUACAUUGGCAUGCAAUUGAAUAUCAAAGGAAAUUUUACCUCAAAAUAUAUCGUCUAUACUCGGCUAAUCAUUUUGUGUGAAUACUUUCUUAAUGAACACUGAAGGUGCAAGCUUGAUAAUGUUUGGAUUUGCAAAUAUCGUUAGGAUACUUGAAAAUGUUUUUCUAACUUUCAGAAUAAAUCAGGAACAUUAACACUGUCACACCACUUCCUGCACCAAUUUUGCUCCGUGGCCAUCAACUUUCUUUAGCCCCAGGGUGUCUUUUACAGUUCCAUGUUUUUUUGUGUGUGUGUGCACGAAUUUUUAGAGUAUCUUUAUUGCUUUUACCUGAGUUCAGCAUUUCUGCCUCAAAAGAUGGUUAUGGGGUGCAAAACAGCAGGUAACAGGUACCACUAGCAGAUACAAUGAACUGCGUCUGACUCAAAGCAGUUGUUCUCCAUUUGGGGGGGCUCAUACUUUAAUCCCAUAGCUCUAGUAGUACAUUUCUGCAUAAGUAGAGUAUUCCAAUGGCAACCUUAAAUCAACUCAUGUGCAAAAACUUUGUCAUUCUUUUUAAAAUGAUUGCAUUGGUUCUGUCCAGUACAUCUAUUUGUUGAUGGUGUACUUGGUGAUUUCUCUGGACACAACAUAGUCAAUAUUUGAUUACCAAUCAGCAGAUUAUCUAUGUCAGACACCAGAAAAACAUUCUGAGUCCCCUGCUUCUCUGAUCAGUGGGUGUGAAAUGGGAGAAAUAGGGUAAUAUUCACUUUGACCUGAGAAAUGCACAGACCGUAAUGUUAAAUAUUGGACAAUGCAUUGUCAUGUUGGAUACAAUAUUUGCAGACAGGGCACUAUUUUAGAAUUUAUUUCUGCUGUGCUUCUCCAUCCAGGCCAUGAAUAGUAAUAGAUUUAUAGUUGAUUUAAGAAAUUUUUGUAACUCAAUAAAUACUGAACUAAAGCAUUCAAAUUAUCUGCUUUGAAACUGUAAAUUUUUGUUCUAAUCCUAACUCUCUUCUUUUUGGAUACUGAAAAACAAUGAAGGUGAUGCAUUCUCCCAGCCUGAUUGCCUCUCUGCAAUGUCGAAGUAUUGGCAGUGAUUUCUAAAAUAGCAAUAUUUUAUACACUUUUUAAAAUGAGCUUAAUAUUAAAAUGAAUUAUACAUUUCUCUGAGCAGAUGGAACAAUGUUUUAUUCAAUUUUACUAUAGUUUAUUUUCAGAAAUUUGAUAUAAAAACAUCAGGAAUAAAAACCUGCUCUCUCCUGAAAAUAUGGUUCAUGUAGAAAAGUGGCUUAGAGAUUAAUAGAAACUUAAUUUAGAGACUGAUAUCAACUGCACAGUUACUAGUAAAUGUCAUUUCAUAUAGUCUGUUCUAAAGAUCAUAUUAGCUCAUCCACUAAAAAAUCAAGCUUAUUACUCAUGAUAAGAGUUGAUAUCAGAUCUAGCUCAGAUAAACUUAUUGUACUAUGUUGACAAGAUAAAGCUAGCUAGUCAAGAACACUUUCACGAAAAAAGAGAAAAGUAGUACAAAUUCUUUUCGCAAUGCUAGUGGCAAAAAACCACUCUAUGAUAUUUAUUAAACUAAAAUGUAGGUCAGACAAGAAAUUGUAUUCCACCUCUUAUUUAAUUAGUAAUCAGAGGUCAGCAGUUCAAAUGUGCUCCCUUUCCUUCUCAACUGUUUGGCAAUUUAAUGCUAUGUAACGUGAAACACGUAAAAUGUCUCAGUGUUAGAUAAAGAGUCACAAGAUAGAAGGGAGAUCUGGAUUCUGGAAAAUCCAGACUUUCCUUCUAACCUGUUGCUAAGAAGAUCACAUUGCUGGCUUUCAUCUCUGUAAGUGUAGACAGCUCAACUUCCUACAAGAAUUUGCUAGUGCCUGUUUAAGGUGAUGGUUUAUCAUUUCACCUGGAUGUUACUGGUUUCAAUUAGAAGCAGAGGAUUGACUGGAUGUACUUUAAAGAAAAUUGAUUUUAUAAUUCUCUUUGAAUUCAGAAUAGAAAAUGAACAAUGAACGCAUCAGCACUCUCCACCGUAGUGCCAGAAGAGCUGCAGGGGGUACUUAGAAUUUAGUUACAGCAGGUUAAUCCAGUAUUCAGCAUCCCAGAAUAUGAUGUCACUCUAAUUUUACACCUUCCCAAAACAAACAAAUGAAUAAACAAACAACUUCCAAAACCACUGCAGUGUUUUACACUAGGAAUGUCAGCAUGACGCCUAUGGAAAUUGGAAUGUGUUACUGUUUCUCUUCAGACAAGUCCAUAGGUACAGAAGAAAGCAGGCACAGGUGGUGACAGCUGGCACAGAUAUGGUGCAGGGCUAAAUGAGAGUCACCUAGAACAUUGCCUGAUUUUUACUUUUUAAAGUCAAUUUCAAACUGCUUCACAAGUUUACAGAAGAGCUCACCCUUAGUUUUGCUUUCUCCCAGUACGGUGACUGUUGACCGACAUAAAACUUGAACUUAGGCACUGUUAAAGGUAGUACACUAAGCUUCAAUCUGAGCAUCUAGAUUCAACACUGAAACUCUAUAUCACCUGCAAAAAUAUGUGUAUAUUCAGUCUAAUGUAGAAUUCUUUGAGAUGUGUGACAACACCCUUGUGUUAUACCACUUCGUGUGACUUCUGAAGAUAUCAUGACAUUCUAAAUGCCUCUUCCUGUGUUAAAUCUCUGUUCCCUAUUUUGUGAUGUAACUCUUUACAAUUGUUUCAUUUUGUCAUCGGAUGUUCUCUAAAGCCAAAUUCAACCCUUGAUAAAUGUGUGAUGUCCAUGGCAAUAGGAAAUGCGUGACAGGGUAAGCUGGCCAGGUUUUCUAUUUAUAAGGAGUUGGUGUCAAAUUGAUAUGGUUUGGCUCUGUGUCCCCACCAAAUCUCGUGUCAAAUUGUAAUCCCCAAGGUUGGACCUGGGGCCUGGUGGGAGAUGACUGGAUCAUUGUUGCGGGGGAGGGUCCUUCAUGAAUCCCUUGGUGCUGUUCUCAUGAUGGGGCUCUCAGGAGCUCUGGUUAUUUAAAAGUGUGUGGCUCCCUGCUCUCUCUCUUACUCCUGCUCUGACCAUGUAAGGUAUGCCUACUUCCAUCCCAUCACUUUGGGAAGCCAAGGUGGGCAGACCACAAGGUCAGGAGAUCGAGACCAUCCUGGCUAACAUGGUGAAACCCUGUCUCUACUAAAAAUACAAAAACAUUUUCCGGGCGUGGUGGUGGGCGCCUGUAGUCCCAGCUACUCGGGAGGCUGAGGCGGGAGAAUGCCGUGAACCCGGGAGAUGGAGCUUGCAGUGAGC